Molecule: ribosomal RNA, 945 nt
Filed under: uncultured archaeon
Lineage: Archaea
Description: bacterial SSU rRNA
Rfam family: Archaeal small subunit ribosomal RNA
Source: RNAcentral
GCAUGCGCGCGGGAAUUCGAUUUUAAGCAUGCGAGUCAAAUGUCUCGUGAACAUGGCGUACUGCUCAGUAACACGUGGAUAACCUGCCCUUAGGACUGGCAUAACCCCGGGAAACUGGGGACAAUUCCGGAUAGUUCAUGGUAGCUGGAAUGCUCCAUGAUCGAAAGCUAUUGCGCCUAAGGAUGGGUCUGCGGUCUAUCAGGUAGUAGUGGGUGUAAUGUACCUACUAGCCGACGACGGAUACGGGUUGUGGGAGCAAGAGCCCGGAGAUGGAUUCUGAGACAUGAAUCCAGGCCCUACGGGGCGCAGCAGGCGCGAAAACUUUACAAUGCGGGAAACCGCGAUAAGGGGACACCGAGUGCCAGCAUCUUAUGUUGGCUGUCCGCAUGUAUAAAUCACAUGUGUUAGCAAGGGCCGGGCAAGACCGGUGCCAGCCGCCGCGGUAACACCGGCGGCCCGAGUGGUGGCCACUAUUAUUGGGUCUAAAGGGUCCGUAGCCGGUUUGGUCAGUCUUCCGGGAAAUCUGACGGCUUAACCGUUAGGCUUUCGGGGGAUACUACCAGGCUUGGGACCGGGAGAGGUAAGAGGUACUACGGGGGUAGGAGUGAAAUCUUGUAAUCCUCGUGGGACCACCAGUGGCGAAGGCGUCUUACCAGAACGAGUCCGACGGUGAGGGACGAAAGCUGGGGGCACGAACCGGAUUAGAUACCCGGGUAGUCCCAGCCGUAAACUAUGCUCGCUAGGUGUCAGGGACGGUGCGACCGUUUCUGGUGCCGCAGGGAAGCCGUGAAGCGAGCCACCUGGGAAGUACGGUCGCAAGGCUGAAACUUAAAGGAAUUGGCGGGGGAGCACUACAACGGGUGGAGCCUGCGGUUUAAUUGGACUCAACGCCGGAAAACUCACCGGGGGCGACAGCAAUAUGUAGGUCAAGCUAAAGACUUAGUA